UACGGAGGGUGCAAGCGUUAUCCGGAUUCACUGGGUUUAAAGGGUGCGUAGGUGGGCUUAUAAGUCAGUGGUGAAAUCCCCGAGCUUAACUCGGGAACUGCCAUUGAUACUGUAGGUCUUGAAUACUCUGGAGGUAAGCGGAAUAUGUCAUGUAGCGGUGAAAUGCAUAGAUAUGACAUAGAACACCAAUUGCGAAGGCAGCUUACUACAGGGAGAUUGACACUGAUGCACGAAAGCGUGGGGAUCAAACAGG
This 253-nucleotide ribosomal RNA is filed under the name uncultured bacterium. RNAcentral describes it as "partial 16S ribosomal RNA". It matches the Rfam family "Bacterial small subunit ribosomal RNA", at positions 524 to 776 of the family's 1533-position model. The record is from RNAcentral.